This 433-nucleotide ribosomal RNA is filed under the name uncultured bacterium. RNAcentral's name for it is "partial 16S ribosomal RNA". It matches the Rfam family "Bacterial small subunit ribosomal RNA", at positions 29 to 507 of the family's 1533-position model. The record is from RNAcentral.
AGCGAACGCUGGCGGCAGGCCUAACACAUGCAAGUCGAACGGAUCCUUCGGGAUUAGUGGCGGACGGGUGAGUAACACGUGGGAACGUGCCCUUUGGUUCGGUACAACUCAGGGAAACUUGAGCUAAUACCGGAUGUGCCCUUCGGGGGAAAGAUUUAUCGCCAUUGGAGCGGCCCGCGUCUGAUUAGCUAGUUGGUGAGGUAACGGCCCACCAAGGCGACGAUCAGUAGCUGGUCUGAGAGGAUGAUCAGCCACACUGGGACUGAGACACGGCCCAGACUCCUACGGGAGGCAGCAGUGGGGAAUCUUGCGCAAUGGGCGAAAGCCUGACGCAGCCAUGCCGCGUGAAUGAUGAAGGUCUUAGGAUUGUAAAAUUCUUUCAGCGGGGACGAUAAUGACGGUACCCGCAGAAGAAGCUCCGGCUAACUUCGUG